Molecule: long non-coding RNA, 1282 nt
Filed under: Gadus morhua (Atlantic cod)
Lineage: Eukaryota; Metazoa; Chordata; Actinopteri; Gadiformes; Gadidae
Description: lncRNA (ENSGMOG00000036480.1)
Source: RNAcentral
UUUAAUUACCUUGUUUUGUCUUUACGGCUUUUCUGGGUUUGUCGUGCGCUUUCAAAACCAAUCAGACAGCAGAUCCAUCCAAUAAAAAAGUCACAUUGCCUAGUACGCUAUUUCUUGUUUUAGGCUAUUUUUCAUCAAGGCACAUCAUUGACACCAUUUAAGGUUGGCACCGUUUAUUUCAGCAAUGUUGUAUGGAAAAACACUUGAGGCUAUUCUCUGCAGUGCUAUUUUGGAAACUGUAAUUUUUGGUGUGUGUGUUUUUUCUAUCACUAUUCCUUCCAUUUGUCUCAAUUAAUUCUGCAAGCUCGCAGUCUAUUUUGCCCUGGUGAGUCAUCCAGCUCUGCGGUCAAGAGAAAUUCGUCGCGGAGGACAAUAAAGAGAGGAAAGGCACGACACCGCUCCCCCAGCCACAGCACAAAGACUCCGCGGUUCCGGACGCUUUUUUUUUUUUCUCUCCAUAUUUUGGUAGAUGACAAUCGCCCGUGUAUGGAUGUUAUCUGGGGGGGUGGACAAGGCCGUAACACUGACCUGCUUGUAGUUAGCGAGAAAAGCUAACUCGAUUAGCACCUGCACCUGCUUGCAAAUUAAGCGUGUUUUUGUUUUUUUUGCAAAGCUUCAUUUGGUAGUUGAAGUCAGUCGUCUGCAACACGACUCGAUCGCAGGGUUUUCCUGAUUUGUGCCUGCAAGUUGUGUGCAUGUAUUUUUUUUCUUCAAUGCAACGUGCCAUACGUUGAACCGGCAGUAUAAGCUACAGAAAAUAGGUUGGAGGCUCGUCUAGUCCCAUCUUCAUUCAUUGCAAAGCCGAUGUUGGAUACGUUGCCUUUGUUGCAGUUUUCCCCCCUUCUUUUUACUGCCAAUUCCUGCAACAUCUAUUGACUAUAUGUUCAAAGGUUUGCAGUUGAGAAAACUUAAAGAUGAUUUUUGUACCAAGGCUGUGUCUGUUGAUCAUAACGCAACAGUGGCCAAAUAGUAGCUUAACUUUGUAAAAAUCGAAUAAAUAUAUAUCUAAAUAUAUAUAUAUAUAUAUAUAACUGAACCCUUUCGGAAGUGUGUGGAGCUCACACCCGUUUACUCGAUCAUGCACGAUUGCCCGAAUUUACCUCAAUAAGUAGCAAGCAACAGCAUACAUUUGAAUCGAGUGUUACAUUUUUUAUAUUUGAUUAAAAAAAAACCUUUUCUCGAAAGUAUUACAUCAUUGCAAUAGCCUAACCGUUGCACUGAUUCACACACGGAAACCAAAGUAGCAAUAGGACGACGAGGAGGAAGGCCCCGGGGUUUUGUG